RNAcentral lists this ribosomal RNA (368 nucleotides) under fungal sp. RNAcentral's name for it is "partial large subunit ribosomal RNA". It matches the Rfam family "Eukaryotic large subunit ribosomal RNA", at positions 221 to 596 of the family's 3401-position model. The record is from RNAcentral. Lineage: Eukaryota; Fungi.
ACGUGACCGGCGGCCUGUGCCCGUGUAAAGCUCUUUCGACGAGUCGAGUUGUUUGGGAAUGCAGCUCAAAAUGGGUGGUAUAUUUCAUCUAAAGCUAAAUAUUGGCCAGAGACCGAUAGCGCACAAGUAGAGUGAUCGAAAGAUGAAAAGCACUUUGGAAAGAGAGUUAAACAGUACGUGAAAUUGUUGAAAGGGAAGCGCUUGCAAUCAGACUUGCACGCGGUCGAUCAUCCGAGGUUCUCCCCGGUGCACUCGACCGUGUUCAGGCCAGCAUCGGUUUCGGUGGUGGGAUAAAGGCCGUGGGAAUGUGGCUCCUCUCGGGGAGUGUUAUAGCCCUCGGUGCAAUGCCGCCUACCGGACCGAGGACC